RNAcentral lists this ribosomal RNA (258 nucleotides) under uncultured bacterium. Its description in RNAcentral is "partial 16S ribosomal RNA". It matches the Rfam family "Bacterial small subunit ribosomal RNA", at positions 96 to 354 of the family's 1533-position model. The record is from RNAcentral.
UGGCGGACGGGUGAGUAACGCGUGGGUAACCUGCCUUACACAGGGGGAUAACACUUAGAAAUAGGCGCUAAAACCGCAUAAGCGCACAGCUUCGCAUGAAGCGGUGUGAAAAACUCCGGUGGUGUAAGAUGGACCCGCGUCUGAUUAGCUUGUUGGCGGGGUAACGGCCCACCAAGGCGACGAUCAGUAGCCGGCCUGAGAGGGCGGACGGCCACAUUGGGACUGAGACACGGCCCAGACUCCUACGGGAGGCAGCAG